CGUGCAAUCAUAGCGGACAAAGGGUCCGUGCAUAUCAAUAAGCGGAGCAAAAGGGUCCGUGCUUUUCAUUAAGCGGAGCAAACGGGUCCCUGCAUCGGAACUAAGUCCAUCGGAACGUGCCGCCCAGGUAGGGUGACAGCCCCGUCCGGCCACGCGCCGCGUCCGCAGUCUGCCCCCGACGAGUCGAGUUGUUUGGGAAUGCACCUCAAAGUGGGUGGUAAAUUCCAUCUAAAGCUAAAUAUUGGCGAGAGACCGAUAGCGAACAAGUACAGUGAUGGAAAGAUGAAAAGCACUUUGAAAAGAGAGUGAAACAGUACGUGAAAUUGUUGAAAGGGAAGGGCUUGCAAGCAGACACGGCUUUUGCCGGGCCAGCAUCGGUUUGGGGAGGCGGACAACCGCGGGAGCAUGUGGCGCACCUCGGUGCGUGUUAUAGCUCCCGUCCAUACGCCUUCCCCAGUCCGAGGCCUGCGUUCUAAACUAGGAUGCUGGCGUAAUGGUUGCAAGCC
This 506-nucleotide ribosomal RNA is filed under the name [Candida] sp. Ox2apO561. RNAcentral describes it as "eukaryotic LSU rRNA". It matches the Rfam family "Eukaryotic large subunit ribosomal RNA", at positions 77 to 646 of the family's 3401-position model. Lineage: Eukaryota; Fungi; Ascomycota; Saccharomycetes; Saccharomycetales. The record is from RNAcentral.